Molecule: non-coding RNA, 83 nt
Organism: Schistocephalus solidus
Lineage: Eukaryota; Metazoa; Platyhelminthes; Cestoda; Diphyllobothriidea; Diphyllobothriidae
Source: Rfam
AGCCUCGUAGCUCAGUUGGCUAGAGCGUUGGCUGUACUGAAGCCUUCGCCUUGCUGGCGUGGGUUCGAAUCCCACCAAGACCG